This is a long non-coding RNA of Pan troglodytes (chimpanzee), 868 nucleotides long. RefSeq lists it as uncharacterized. NCBI's taxonomy places the organism in Eukaryota, Metazoa, Chordata, Mammalia, Primates, Hominidae. The record is from RefSeq and is a predicted model, not a curated record. The transcript is spliced from 4 exons.
CGUCUGCCAAAGGCUUUGAGCUUCCUGGUGUUCAUCGUACCUCCGCUUGGUGCUGUCGUGACUAAACCACGACAGCAGGAAAAAAAAAAAAAAAAAAGCAGCUAGCCAAGUUGCUGAGGAAUUACGGUGUGCAGAGCCCUCGCAGCUCCUUCUCUUGGGAACUCCUGGUCUGGUUAGGUUCUCAGCCAGGAAACAGCCUCCCACCCCGCCCGAUUCCACCUAAUCAACUCAAGGGCCAGCUCCUUUUGCUGGCCUCCCUGCUUCCACGGAGCAGUUAGGCCCGCCUAAACUCAGCGAGCGUUUCUGGAGCACCUUGAGGAUAGGGACCAAGUAACAGAGUCCGGGUGUUAAGGUUAUGAUAGUAGUUAACGUUUUCGGAAAGAGACUGUGUCAGGCUCUGUGCUAAGAACUUUACAUGAAGUAUUUAUUCCUCAUGACUGUGAGUCCAUUGCAUUAUUUGCUGUCUGAAAUGCCACCCUUCGAGGGCUUUGAGGAGAUUUGAAAAACAUGGUAGUAUAUACCAGCCCAAGGAAGAUAAAAGUAAGACCCGAGAAAAUACUUUUCAACAAGACCAAAAUUUAGGCCAUGGAGGGGGACUUUCAAUCUGGAAUGAUCGAGCUUUAAGGAAGACAAGUACAUGAGCUCCUCUAGGACAGUGAAAAAGCAUCCUAACAUGCUCAAGACAGGAUAGGAAAUGGUCCUCUGGCUUGAAAGACUCAGCAUCCAGAAGUAGUACCUCACUCUCCAUCCAGUGGUCACCCCCCAGAAAUGUGCUCUCCCUGUCUCACCAGGCCCUACCCACCUGCCUGGGAGCUGCCUGCCUCUUGAUGUGCUGACACCUGCUCCUGCUGCUGCUGCUGCUGCUGUU